Molecule: ribosomal RNA, 411 nt
Filed under: uncultured bacterium
Lineage: Bacteria
Description: bacterial SSU rRNA
Rfam family: Bacterial small subunit ribosomal RNA
Source: RNAcentral
UGGGGAAUAUUGCACAAUGGGCGCAAGCCUGAUGCAGCAACGCCGCGUGAGGGAUGACGGCCUUCGGGUUGUAAACCUCUUUUGGUAGGGAAGAAGCCUUCGGGUGACGGUACCUGCAGAAAAAGCGCCGGCUAACUACGUGCCAGCAGCCGCGGUAAUACGUAGGGCGCAAGCGUUAUCCGGAAUUAUUGGGCGUAAAGAGCUCGUAGGCGGUCUGUCGCGUCUGCUGUGAAAUUCCGAGGCUCAACCUCGGGCUUGCAGUGGGUACGGGCAGACUAGAGUGCGGUAGGGGAGAUUGGAAUUCCUGGUGUAGCGGUGGAAUGCGCAGAUAUCAGGAGGAACACCGAUGGCGAAGGCAGAUCUCUGGGCCGUUACUGACGCUGAGGAGCGAAAGGGUGGGGAGCAAACAGG